RNA transcript from Spinacia oleracea (spinach), 1880 nucleotides. RefSeq lists it as uncharacterized. The transcript has 11 exons. NCBI's taxonomy places the organism in Eukaryota, Viridiplantae, Streptophyta, Magnoliopsida, Caryophyllales, Amaranthaceae. The record is from RefSeq and is a predicted model, not a curated record.
UUUGUGGCUGAGUGGAGGGAAAGGUAAAUCCUCUUUCUCUUUUCACAGGUCGAUCAAAAAAUUGCAGCAAAACAUUACCAAACUUCAGCAGCAACAAUGUCAUCUUCAACACCUAAAAGACGCCCAAAAUCAUCUCCCAUAAACCCUAAUUCCAAAAUAAUCCCAAAUCAAUCUCAAAAUCAUAGCUCAUCUUCGACGCUAACAUCAUUACUAGCAGAAGUAGAGCCACCCCCUAAUUUACUCCCUUCCAAAUCCGACUUUCUCAACCUCAUUGCUAUCGUCAUUAUCGCAGCUGUUGUCGCCGUUUUAUGCAACUCCAUCUCCCGCUUCGUCAAUCGCCCUCCUAUUCUUUUCUGUGAUUCCGACGUCGUAGAAUCCGAUGUUUCAUUGCUUGAUUCAUGUGAGCCUUGCCCUAUUAAUGGAAGGUGUUACAAGGGCCAGCUGGAAUGCAUUCAAGGAUUUAGGAAGUACGGCAAGUUAUGCAUUGAAGACGGAGAUAUCUAUGAAGCAGCUAAAAAACUUUCAGGAUGGGCAAAGGAUCAUUUGUGUGAAGCACAUGCACAGUAUAUGUGUGAUGGAACCGGAGCGGUUUGGGUCUCUGAGGAGGAUUUAAUGAACAUGCUGGACAAAGAUGGGGGGUUUCAAGGUUCAACAGUAGAUGUUGAUAUCAAAUACUUGUACUCAAAAGAAAAAGCAAUGGAGGACAUUAAUGGAUUUAUGGAUACAAGAACCAUUGGCAACGGGGACAAAGAGGUUAAAUGUCCUGACGAAUUAGCUGAAAGUUAUAAAACAAUGACAUGUCGUGCUCGACAAUGGGUAGCUAAGAAUCUUCUACUUCUCAUUGCAGUAUUUGCACUGCUCGCAGGAUGUACAUUGUUGCUGUUGAGAAUUCGUAGAAGAUGGUAUUUGACAAAGAGAGCAGAACAUCUUUACCAUCAGGUUUGUGACACACUUGAGGACAAUGCUUUAAUGUCUAGAAGCAUGGGUGACAGAGAAGCCUGGUUAGUUGCCUCAAGGCUCCGAGAUCAUAUCCUUACUCCCAAAGAAAGAAGAGAUCCUCUUCUAUGGAAGAUGGUUGAAGGUUUGGUGGAAUCGGACUCUCGUUUGGACCGCUAUCCAAAGCUUGUGAAGGGUGAAUCAAAGGUGGUGUGGGAAUGGCAAGUGGAAGGUUCUUUGAGUUCUUCCAGGAGAAAGAAGGCGGAGUUUGGCAAUCUGAAUUAUGGCGCAGAUACGAUUAAUUGAAAUUGUUGUGGAUAAGCAAAUGUCUUAGAACAAACACUUCAGUCUUCUACUUGUUUGUUGUGAAGUAGUAUGCAGUUGAAACCCUUUGCUGUUGCAUGGGGAAGAUUAGGAACACCACACACAUGAUCACCCCAAAGCCCCCUAGAGGCUGUUAGAAGUUGGUAUUGGAAUAUCAAUGGUACCAGAAGAGUUGAUAGGAAGCUGUUUUACAUUAGUAGUGCAUAGAGGUGAUCAAAAUACGGGCCAGGCCGGACUUUAACACAAAAAAUAAUGCCCAAACCGAUAUAUUUGGAGUGGGCUUUCAGGUCGGGCUCGGGCUUAAAUCUAAAAAGGAGUAUUUUAAUCUACAAAAUUGCAGAGAUGCACACACCAUGAGGCACAUGAACUUCCUGAAAGACAGUAUCAAUUUAGUCAAGGAACGGCCAUAUUUGUCAUUCGUGUAGAAAAUUAGAUUUCCAUAUACAAAAUUUAUUGUAAUUAUGUAAACUUAAUUUCAUUACAUGAAGAAAUCCAACAGGAAGUUUUGUGGUGAGUUCAGAUUUGUGCUUUAAGCAUCUCAUUGACAUUCUUGUCUGAAAAGUGCUGAUAUGUUUGAUGCUGAUUGGCGGCUUAGAUGAAAUGUGACAUCUUAUAAAUUA